CAGAAUAUAGCUUAAUUUAAAGCUCUUCGCUUACACCGAAACCAUAUUUGUGAAAACCAAAUUAUUCUGA
RNAcentral lists this transfer RNA (70 nucleotides) under Anomaloglossus kaiei (Kaie rock frog). RNAcentral's name for it is "tRNA-Val". Lineage: Eukaryota; Metazoa; Chordata; Amphibia; Anura; Aromobatidae. The record is from RNAcentral.